GGCUUUCAAGCACCCACAUUCUUGUCUCUCUCUCUCAAAAAGAACCCUAGAGAUUUAUCCAUGGAGGAACCACAUUCGUGCCAUCUCUUCCGCUUCAGAUCCAGACAUGGAUUGGAUCUUUUUGAGGGUUAGACAACUACUACUUCAACAAUAAGAGAAGUUAAAAGAUCUCCAGACCAGACCUCGCAAGAACAGGUCUAUGGUUCAAAGUUUGAGUGGAUUUGCUCAGAUGUUAUUCUAGUUGUGUAGAAAAUGAACACAUCUCAACGUGUUGAUUGAAGGGUUGUAAAUGAACACGAUUCAUAUCAUCAUCCUCUCCUUCAUCCCCUCGAAGUCUUAACAAAAGGACCAGCCUCUGAUAGUCUAAUUGUCUCUUCUUCAACAAACUCCAUUGUUGAUGAAUUGCAGCCACCUAAGUCUUCAGAUGUGUUUCUUUUUAACUUUUGUGGAUCUGAUCUUCAAGGCAUGUUACAUGGUUGAUUUGAAAGCAUAGAUCUUUAUGUGGGGUUGUAAAUGAACAAGAUUCAUAUCACCAUUUUGUCCUUUAUCUUCUCAAAGUCUCAAGAGGUAAAAGUUUUUGAUAUAUUUUUAUAUUUAGUUUUAAAAUCCAUAUAAACCUUCAUAUGUAGCUCAACUUUUUGUUGAUCAUGUAUUUUCUUGAUGAGGACCUGCACAUUUUCUGAUUUCGUUUAGUUUUUUUGCUGCUGUUUAAUGCAAUCAUGCGAAUACGGGAACUAAUGGCCUAGCCAUCUCUACUCAACACGCUUCUCAAAUUGAGGAUGCAGUAUGGUAUGAAUUAGGGUUUUUGUUGGCUUUUUGGCAGCUUCAUCCGACGACGGCACAUAAGUUUAAAAUGAUGGCUUCAUGGCGGAUUUUUGCUGACAAGCAUCACUUGUUUUGAGUGUUGUAAUGGCUACUCAUAUGGCUGCUGAAUAGAUUUGAGAUCUACUUUAACUACUGUUUUUAAUCAUCCAUUUGAGUAUAUUAAAACUGUUCUUUAACCAGUAAAAAGGUGCUUGAUAGAGGAUGAUGUUCCAUGUUUUUGUGUUAAUAUUUUACAUUGAUUUCUUUGGAUU
RNAcentral lists this long non-coding RNA (1076 nucleotides) under Helianthus annuus (common sunflower). RNAcentral's name for it is "hypothetical non coding rna". Lineage: Eukaryota; Viridiplantae; Streptophyta; Magnoliopsida; Asterales; Asteraceae. The record is from RNAcentral.